RNAcentral lists this ribosomal RNA (403 nucleotides) under bacterium. RNAcentral's name for it is "partial 16S ribosomal RNA". It matches the Rfam family "Bacterial small subunit ribosomal RNA", at positions 355 to 776 of the family's 1533-position model. The record is from RNAcentral.
UGGGGAAUAUUGCACAAUGGGGGAAACCCUGAUGCAGCGACGCCGCGUGAACGAAGAAGGUAUUCGUAUCGUAAAGUUCUGUCCUAUGGGAAGAUAAUGACAGUACCAUAGAAGAAAGCUCCGGCUAAAUACGUGCCAGCAGCCGCGGUAAUACGUAUGGAGCGAGCGUUGUCCGGAAUUAUUGGGCGUAAAGGGUACGCAGGCGGUUUAAUAAGUCGAAUGUUAAAGAUCGGGGCUCAACCCCGCAAAGCAUUGGAAACUGAUAAACUUGAGUAGUGGAGAGGAAAGUGGAAUUCCUAGUGUAGUGGUGAAAUACGUAGAUAUUAGGAGGAAUACCAGUAGCGAAGGCGACUUUCUGGACACAAACUGACGCUUAGGUACGAAAGCGUGGGGAGCAAACAGG